GUGGUGGAUGCCUUGGCGAUUACAGGCGAUGAAGGACGUAGUAGCCUGCGAUAAGCUGCGGGGAGCUGGCAAACAAGCUUUGAUCCGCAGAUUUCCGAAUGGGGAAACCCACUCCGCAAGGAGUAUCCCCACGCUGAAUACAUAGGCGUGUGGAGGCGAACGCAGUGAACUGAAACAUCUAAGUAGCUGCAGGAAAAGAAAUCAACCGAGAUUCCGAAAGUAGUGGCGAGCGAAAUCGGAGCAGCCGGUGCGUGAUAGUCGAUAGGUUAACAGAACGGCAUGGAAAGGCCGGCCAUAGCGGGUGAUAGCCCCGUAUGUGAAAACCCUUCGGUGGUACUGAGCGCACGACAAGUAGGGCGGGACACGUGAAAUCCUGUCUGAAGAUGGGGGGACCAUCCUCCAAGGCUAAAUACUCGUAAUCGACCGAUAGUGAACAAGUACCGU
RNAcentral lists this ribosomal RNA (444 nucleotides) under uncultured bacterium. RNAcentral's name for it is "bacterial LSU rRNA". It matches the Rfam family "Bacterial large subunit ribosomal RNA", at positions 21 to 504 of the family's 2925-position model. The record is from RNAcentral.